Molecule: ribosomal RNA, 190 nt
Filed under: uncultured rumen bacterium
Lineage: Bacteria
Description: partial 16S ribosomal RNA
Rfam family: Bacterial small subunit ribosomal RNA
Source: RNAcentral
CCUACGGGAGGCAGCAGUGAGGAAUAUUGGUCAAUGGGCGUAAGCCUGAACCAGCCAAGUAGCGUGGAGGAUGACGGCCCUACGGGUUGUAAACUCCUUUUAUGCGGGGAUAAAGUGCGCCACGUGUGGCGUUUUGCAGGUACCGCAUGAAUAAGGACCGGCUAAUUCCGUGCCAGCAGCCGCGGUAAUA